This 1319-nucleotide ribosomal RNA is filed under the name uncultured archaeon. RNAcentral describes it as "bacterial SSU rRNA". It matches the Rfam family "Archaeal small subunit ribosomal RNA", at positions 21 to 1337 of the family's 1478-position model. The record is from RNAcentral.
AGGCCACUGCUAUGGGGGUCCGACUAAGCCAUGCNAGUCAUGGGGCGCCUUGCGCGCACCGGCGGACGGCUCAUUAACACGUCGGUAACCUACCCUCGGGAGGGGGAUAACCCCGGGAAACUGGGGCUAAUCCCCCAUAGGCCUGAGGUACUGGAAGGUCCUCAGACCGAAAGGGCUCUGCCCGCCCGAGGAUGGGCCGGCGGCCGAUUAGGUAGUUGGUGGGGUAACGGCCCACCAAGCCGAAGAUCGGUACGGGCCAUGAGAGUGGGAGCCCGGAGAUGGACACUGAGACACGGGUCCAGGCCCUACGGGGCGCAGCAGGCGCGAAACCUCCGCAAUGCUCGAAAGAGCGACGGGGGGACCCCCAGUGCCGUGGCAUCGCCACGGCUUUUCCGGAGUGUAAAGAGCUCCGGGAAUAAGGGCUGGGCAAGGCCGGUGGCAGCCGCCGCGGUAAUACCGGCGGCCCGAGUGGUGGCCGCUAUUAUUGGGCCUAAAGCGUCCGUAGCCGGGCCUGUAAGUCCCUGGCGAAAUCCCACGGCUCAACCGUGGGGCUUGCUGGGGAUACUGCAGGCCUUGGGACCGGGAGAGGCGGAGGGUACUCCUGGGGUAGGGGUGAAAUCCUAUAAUCCCAGGAGGACCGCCAGUGGCGAAGGCGCUCCGCUGGAACGGGUCCAACGGUGAGGGACGAAGGCCAGGGGAGCGAACCGGAUUAGAUACCCGGGUAGUCCUGGCUGUAAAGGAUGCGGGCUAGGUGUCGGGUGAGCUUCGUGCUCGCCCGGUGCCGAAGGGAAGCCGUUAGGCCCGCCGCCUGGGGAGUACGGCCGCAAGGCUGAAACUUAAAGGAAUUGGCGGGGGAGCACUACAAGGGGUGGAGCGUGCGGUCUAAUUGGAUUCAACGCCGGGAACCUCACCGGGGGCGACGGCAGGAUGAAGGCCAGGCUGAAGGUCUUGCCGGACGCGCCGAGAGGAGGUGCAUGGCCGCCGUCAGCUCGUACCGUGAGGCGUCCACUUAAGUGUGGUAACGAGCGAGACCCGCGCCCCCAGUUGCCAGUCCUUCCCGCUUGGGAAGGAGGCACUCUGGGGGGACCGCCGGCGAUAAGCCGGAGGAAGGAGCGGGCGACGGUAGGUCAGUAUGCCCCGAAUCCCCCGGGCUACACGCGCGCUACAAUGAGCGGGACAAUGGGAUCCGACCCCGAAAGGGGAAGGUAAUCCCCUAAACCCGCUCCCAGUUCGGAUUGCGGGCUGCAACUCGCCCGCAUGAAGCUGGAAUCCCUAGUACCCGCGUGUCAUCAUCGCGCGGCGAAUACGUCCCUGCUCCU